CAGAUGGUUGCUAGAUUGGCUGUUUCAAGACAUUUUCCCCAUUGAUUUUUACAGGUCUUCCUGCCAGAGAGAAUUAGUCAGAGCGGGGGUUGGAUGGAGGGGAGGAGGCUACUCUACCCAUGCAGCGGGUCAGAUGCUGGGGGACAAGACAGAGUCCUGCCUCCUCCUCAUUGGCCAGAGAGCUCUACCGAGGGACAGAGGAUGCUGGAAAGAAGAAGCAGGUGACAUCAUGUGAAUCUGCCGCUGCUUGGAUAGUCAUGGCAACUGAUCUGUAUUUGUAUAAACACACGGGGCUGACUCUCCUCCCCUGCGGUCCCUCGUGCCACCGGGAUUCUCACAGAUCCUAGCAGCUACAGGGUUGUACCAUUACUGCUCCAUGCUGCUUCACACACUCACAGGGGAGAGCCUGGCGCCGCUUCUGUCUGUACAGCCGGUCUAACUCCCAGAGCAACCCCUACCAGCCGACCCCGGGGCGCUCUUCACCCAACACCCUUCUUCGACGACGUCCCCCCAGACUCCAGCACUUACAUCACAGCCCUCCACCCUCUCAUCUGUGACCUGUGAUCACACUCGACUUUCUGACGUCCUUUUAAGUGUUCUUGCACAAGCCGGCGCUUACGGCUUAAAGCUCACAACGCAGUAGAGUCGCUCGCAGCAUAACAGAAAUGUUAGUGAGAUGAAAUCGGAAGGCAAACACAGACUCAUUUUUAGUUAUGAUGAAUCCUGCUUUCUCAGUUGUGACAACACAAGCUUACCAUGAUAAGACGAUAGUUGUAUUUCAUGCACCGCACAAGUGUUUUACAAGCGUAUUAAUUUGUCAUCACCAAUUUCAGAUAAGAUACCAGACUUUCUUUUGGUUAUAGAUCAAACCCCAGUUGGCAAAGCAGCGGUCGCCGACAUGGCAGGGAAUCAGAGGAGAAGUAAGAGGUUGCAGCAUGAGAUCAUAGGAGUCACACUGAGGCGCGUGCACUAAAAUGACCCUGACCUCGGGGUCCUGACCUGAACGUCUUUGCUCUUGCAUGAGAGAAAACCUUUUAUGUGGCUUUGGAUGGAAGAAGCAAGAGGAGGAGAUGAGAAAUGAAGAGCACAGCGCCGUCCUUCACCAUUAUUAUUGGGUUUUUGGAGGGGGCUCCAGUAUGGCACACAAAAAGGUCCUCUUUGAAAAGAAGGUUUUUCAGAUUUGGACCCCUUGAGAACAGAAUGAUUAAUUUAGCACAAGGAAUAAUGCUUUGGAUGAUAAAGGGAAUACAUUUAUCUUUGCCCUUUCAUCCAGACGUCUCUGACUGUGUGCGGGAGAGCCGAGGAAACCUUGAGGUAUUGUGUAAAUUCAGUCACAAUUAAAAAAAACGGAGUGCAUGUCUUCAAGAAAACUUGUGUUUUUCAUUACCUGAAUUGUUAGCCCAUGUAUGCCUUGUAUGCCUGCUCAACAUCACUGUCUUAUUUUCUUUUACUAGGCAAAUGGAAUUGUACAAAUACAGUCUGGAAUUCCUCCAAAUGAAUCCAAAACCGUGAGAAUGCGCUGGGGCAUCUCUGGUUUAGCAUGGAUGCAGUGAGAGGGAUUCAGUGUAGCUCUGUUGAUGUGGUACACUGGGGUGUAAUCUCAUUAGUAUGCUAUAAGACUGACCCUGCACUGCUCGCCAUGUUCACAGCAUUAUGAGGGAGAGGAGAGUGGGCCGCACAGCCUGGUUUCACAUCCAUCCAUUUGACACAUUUAGAACUCCCUCACACUGUCCCUUCAAACACUCUCCUCCUUUUACCUUUUAUAUCAUGUCCACAUGUUCAAACUGUUAGACUGCUCAUCUAGUAGUUUUUUGCAUCUAAUUUCACUUUUAUCUCUCCCUCUUUUAUCCCUCCCUGUAUCACUAUACUUCCUCCAUUUUUGUCACUGAAAGCGUGUCUAUGAAAGCUUGUUGUCUGUCUCUCUGUCUAUCUAUCACCUCUCUUCUUUCUCGCGCUUUCUAUCUCACACCUUUUAUCCUGAUCAGUCUCUCUGACUCAAUGUUAGUGUGAGAGAAUCAAGAUAAAAAUGCCCAGUAACACAUUGAGGGCGAAUUGCCUCCCUAUACAUGUUGGCUUUACCAUGUGGAAGUUGCCGCCUUCUCCAUCGCAUCACCCAUGUGUCUUAUCUCUGCUCUGCCGUGUGUAAAUAUUUAAAGAAGGCUCCAGGAGCAGCGCUGGUAGCAUCUCUGCAGAGCGCAUUUCCCAACUGCCCACACUAUCCAUAGGCGAUAUGAUGGAAAGGCCCAGUGUGCAAAUUAUAGAAUCACUUUGAAGGGUGGUCUACUUUUUAAAGGAAAUCUUAUAUAAUAUUUUCCAUAGGUUUGCUUAAAUUGUCUUUGGCAUUCCUAGCACAUAAUCUAACAAUCUUGUACAAAUUCUGUUAUCAUUUACUCAAGCUCGUGAAGUUCCAAUCAGCAUGACUGUCCAGUCAGUGGGCUCAAAAACCAUUGGAUCCCAUUGACUUUCACUGUACAGGCAAAAAAAAACAGAAACAUGCUUCAAAAUUUCUUCUUUUAGGUUCCUUAGAAUAAAGUAUGUCAUACAGGUUUGAAACAUCGUGAGGGUGAGUAUGACAACACAAUUUUCAUUUCUGGGUGAAAUCUCUAUUUAAAGGUGUUUUAUCACAGAUUGGUCUGAUAAUAAUUCUAAGUAGAAGGUGCUCAAGCAGUCUGCUGUUGCUAUGGUUACCUCAGGCGAAGUCAAAAUCUUCAACUUUUGUGUUUGUUGAAAAGUUAGAAAACCAUUUUUAAGCAUGUAUUUAUAUAAGACCCUCCUCCCACCUUUUUGUUUUUACUGCCUUUGGUGCAUGCUUUAAUUAGCAGAGUCAGAGCUCAUAAUUUGCGCCCUUGGAGAACCCUGGUCUUAUCAUCAUCAUGUGUUGUGGGCAGGAUAAAUGAGGUGGGAUUUAGGGUGUUCAUAACCACGUCCGCCUUCACUUCUGUGCCGUUAGUGAUGAGGACUGCGCUGAGCCUCAAGAUAUGAGGCCUGACUCUUGCCUCGAAUACACACAUAAACAUUCUUUAAAGCAAUAUAGUGCUCUUUCAGCCUGCAGCCACUGAUAUUACACCCCAGCCCCCUUGUGCUUGUAUGAUUUUAUUAAUAAUAGAGAAGAGGCAAUAUAUCCUUUUUCUGUGGAAGGUAUAUGAGGUUAACCAUAUUCUCUUGCUAAUUCCACGUUGAGAUUUUAAUAAAGAAAAGAUGCAUAAGCCAGUGUCAUAGAGGCACUGCAGUGCAAAUAGUACACAGGGAGGCACGCAAGUGAUAAUAAUGGUGGCUGUUACGACUGGUAUUUACAUAGAAUUAAAAUGAAUGGCUCACGUCCUGGGAAUGUGCAAGCAUUAAAUGUAUGCUCACCACUUUGUGUUAGUGAACCUCUUAAAAUGCUCCUCAGAGAUGCAUUUGUGCUUGAAUAUUUUGAAUUGUCUUAUGUAAGUU
Molecule: long non-coding RNA, 3435 nt
Organism: Carassius gibelio (silver crucian carp)
Lineage: Eukaryota; Metazoa; Chordata; Actinopteri; Cypriniformes; Cyprinidae
Exons: 4
Source: RefSeq, a predicted model, not a curated record